GUGCUCAUUUCAGCACACAAAUACUAAAAUUGGAAUGAUAAAGAGAUUAGCAUGGCCCCUGCACAAGGAUGGAAAGAAAAUUUGUGAAUCAUUCUAUGUUAAA
Molecule: small nuclear RNA, 103 nt
Organism: Suncus etruscus (white-toothed pygmy shrew)
Lineage: Eukaryota; Metazoa; Chordata; Mammalia; Eulipotyphla; Soricidae
Source: RefSeq, a predicted model, not a curated record